Molecule: small nuclear RNA, 141 nt
Organism: Oncorhynchus kisutch (coho salmon)
Lineage: Eukaryota; Metazoa; Chordata; Actinopteri; Salmoniformes; Salmonidae
Gene: U4
Rfam family: U4 spliceosomal RNA
About the family: U4 small nuclear RNA (U4 snRNA) is a component of the major U2-dependent spliceosome. The structure of U4 snRNA from yeast and human has been reported. U4 snRNA presents a k-turn RNA motif in the 5p-SL related to recognition of Snu13 protein.
Source: Ensembl
AUCUUUGCGCAGUGGCAGUAUCGUAGCCUAUGAGGUUUAUCCGAGGCGCGAUUAUUGCUAGUUGAAAACUUUACCCAAUACCCCGCCAAGACGACUUGAAAUAUAGUUGGCUUUGGCAAUUUUUGAUGGUCUCUCAGGAGA